AGCAGCCGCGGUAAUUCCAGCUCCAAUAGCGUAUAUAAAAGUUGUUGCAGUUAAAAAGCUCGUAGUUGAACUUCGGGGUUUACCCAUUGGUCAGGCUUAAUUGUCUGUACUGGUGAGAUAAAUCUCUACCUUCUGAGGAACUUUCAUGUCAUUAAUUUGGUGUGAUUGGAAAUCAGGACUGUUACUUUGAAAAAUUAGAGUGUUUAAAGCAGGCUAACGUCUGAAUACAUUAGCAUGGAAUAAUGAAAUAGGACGGACUGAUUCUAUUUCGUUGGUUCUAGGAUCACCGUAAUGAUUAAUAGGGAUAGUUGGGGGCAUUAGUAUUCAAUUGUCAGAGGUGAAAUUCUUGGAUUUAUUGAAAGACUAACUACUGCGAAAGCAUUUGCCAAGGGUGUUUUCAUUAAUCAAAGAACGAAAGUUAGGGGAUCGAAGACGAUCAGAUACCGUCGUAGUCUUAAACCAUAAACUAUGCCGACUAGGGAUCGGACGAAGUUAAUUUAUAAACUGAACGUCGUUCGGC
RNAcentral lists this ribosomal RNA (520 nucleotides) under uncultured Glomeromycotina. Its description in RNAcentral is "SSU rRNA". It matches the Rfam family "Eukaryotic small subunit ribosomal RNA", at positions 569 to 1084 of the family's 1831-position model. Lineage: Eukaryota; Fungi; Glomeromycota. The record is from RNAcentral.